UACGGGAGGCAGCAGUGGGGAAUAUUGCACAAUGGGCGCAAGCCUGAUGCAGCCAUGCCGCGUGUAUGAAAAAGGCCUUCGGGUUGUAAAGUACUUUCAGUCGUGAGGAAGGUGUUAAGGUUAAUAACCUUAGCAAUUGACGUUAGCGACAGAAGAAGCACCGGCUAACUCCGUGCCAGCAGCCGCGGUAAUACGGAGGGUGCGAGCGUUAAUCGGAAUUACUGGGCGUAAAGGGCACGCAGGCGGUUAAUUAAGUUGGAUGUGAAAUCCCCGGGCUUAACCUGGGAAUGGCAUUCAAGACUGGUUAGCUAGAGUCUUGUAGAGGGGGUAGAAUUCCAUGUGUAGCGGUGAAAUGCGUAGAGAUGUGGAGGAAUACCGGUGGCGAAGGCGGCCCCUGGACAAAGACUGACGCUCAUGUGCGAAAGCGUGGGGAGCGAAACAGGGAUAGAUACC
RNAcentral lists this ribosomal RNA (453 nucleotides) under uncultured bacterium. RNAcentral's name for it is "bacterial SSU rRNA". It matches the Rfam family "Bacterial small subunit ribosomal RNA", at positions 340 to 786 of the family's 1533-position model. The record is from RNAcentral.